This is a non-coding RNA of Osmia lignaria (orchard mason bee), 1297 nucleotides long. The record is from RefSeq and is a predicted model, not a curated record. NCBI's taxonomy places the organism in Eukaryota, Metazoa, Arthropoda, Insecta, Hymenoptera, Megachilidae.
GAAACAAGAAGGCUUCCUGUUAGGUGAUGUCAGAUUUUUCUUAGAAGCACAUAUACAACAUGAUACUAUGAAUGAUAUUCAUGUUAAACGCCAUUGAUAUGAAUAAGCGUCUAUACUAAAUGAUAAUUUUAUAAAUUUUCCAAAUUUUAAAGCACUGUCAACAAUCGAACAUUUCAAAUUGUAUCGAUACAAUAAUAAACACAUUUCCUAACCUGUACAAGAUAUGGAAACGAUGAAUCAAGUUGAAACGAGGUCAAGGAUCGCAUUUUUAUCGCACACGUUUAAAUGUAAUAGUUUGAAAUGUAUCAUUUAAAAUCAACAUGCACUUAUACGGUGGAACAAGUAGUUUAAUAUUAAAAUUCAUGUCACAUACCUGAAAUUCUUCGAACUGUUUACACAUGAAAUCCAGAUUACGUGUGCUUCGUUAAAAAGAGACACGAUUGUGUUAAAUUCAUGCCUCCGUCAAUACAUGAAUUGUUAGAAGAUUACGCAGCAUAGAUCCGGCUAUCGUUUGACGGAAACUUUAUAAAUGCACACUGCUAUUACUUUUUAAAUAUUAACACGUUCGAUUUUGGAAAGUGCGGCAAAUGACAGAUCAAUUAUUCAGAGGACUAUCUUUUCAAUUAAAAACGAUAUUAAACACUAUAUAUCGAUGCACUGUUAUACGAAUUCAACGAUACGAUAUCUGAUACGGCGGAUAAAUGUCGAAGAUAUUGAUAAGAAAAUCGAGUAACGACUGAUAGCGUUGUUAAUAUACAAAUCAAAAUUUCGUACCAAAUACGAAAUAAAUACGUGCUUCCUGUCCGCGCGUGCAACAGAACACAGUGAAACACUUGGAAUAUAGCAAUAGAAGUACAUUCAGUAUCAAACCGCUAUUUCGAGCGCUCUUCCUAUGGCGUAGUCGAUUUAUGAAACUUGUUGGCGCGUAAACUUGCUUUCAAACUGACAUGUAUUUUAACAUUUUGUAUUAGUACUCCUAUCAUUUGUUGAACACCAUUGGUUUUAUUAUUUUGUUUUACUUCCUCUCUCAAGUAGUUUCAUUAUCAGCUCAUUAUAUUUUUGUAUUACUUAUCUUGUUCCGGCAUGACACUCCUAAUCUUUCAUGCACUUUCCAAGUUCUUUUAAAAAAUUUUCGUCAAAUUUGCUACGAACAAUUUUAAAAUGCCCAAACAAUUAAAAAUAGACUAUUAAAUAAAUAAUUAAACUGCUUUCAAAUAGACUAUUCAAAAAUAAAAAAGGCAAAUCAUGUGCACGUAUAUAUUUCAAUUAAAAACAUGGAUCAUAUUUAUGUACAGAU